AGAGGGUGUGAGCCGUGAGGGGUUCUCGUCUGUAGUGGACGAGGGCCGGGUGCACAACAACAGGCAAUCGCCAGACACACUAUUGGGCCCUGAGACAACACUCGGCCGACUUCGGUUGAAGUGGUGUCCCUCCAUCUUGGUGGUGGGGUGUGGUGUUUGAGUAUUGAAUAGUGGUUGCGAGCAUAAGGAGGUAC
RNAcentral lists this unclassified non-coding RNA (194 nucleotides) under Mycobacterium simiae. RNAcentral's name for it is "partial 16S-23S ribosomal RNA intergenic spacer". Lineage: Bacteria; Bacillati; Actinomycetota; Actinomycetes; Mycobacteriales; Mycobacteriaceae. The record is from RNAcentral.